GACGAACGCUGGCGGCGUGCUUAACACAUGCAAGUCGAGCGGUAAGGCCCUUUCGGGGGUACACGAGCGGCGAACGGGUGAGUAACACGUGGGUGACCUGCCCUUAGCUCUGGGAUAAGCCUGGGAAACUGGGUCUAAUACCGGAUAUGACUCCAUGACGCAUGUUGUGGGGUGGAAAGCCUUGUGCGGCUAGGGAUGGGCCCGCGGCCUAUCAGCUUGUUGGUGGGUGAUGGCCUACCAAGGCGAAGACGCUUAGCUGGUCUGAGAGGAUGAUCAGCCACACUGAAACUGAGACACGGUUCAGACUCCUACGGGAGGCAGCAGUGGGGAAUAUUGGACAAUGGGCGCAAGCCUGAUCCAGCCACGCCGCGUGAGUGAUGAAGG
This 384-nucleotide ribosomal RNA is filed under the name uncultured bacterium. Its description in RNAcentral is "bacterial SSU rRNA". It matches the Rfam family "Bacterial small subunit ribosomal RNA", at positions 28 to 414 of the family's 1533-position model. The record is from RNAcentral.